GAUGAACGCUGGCGGCGUGCCUAAUACAUGCAAGUCGAGCGAACGGACGAGAAGCUUGCUUCUCUGAUGUUAGCGGCGGACGGGUGAGUAACACGUGGAUAACCUACCUAUAAGACUGGGAUAACUUCGCGAAACCGUAGCUAAUACCGGAUAAUAUUUUGAACCGCAUGGUUCAAAAGUGAAAGACGGUCUUGCUGUCACUUAUAGAUGGAUCCGCGCUGCAUUAGCUAGUUGGUAAGGUAACGGCUUACCAAGGCAACGAUGCAUAGCCGACCUGAGAGGGUGAUCGGCCACACUGGAACUGAGACACGGUCCAGACUCCUACGGGAGGCAGCAGUAGGGAAUCUUCCGCAAUGGGCGAAAGCCUGACGGAGCAACGCCGCGUGAGUGAUGAAGGUCUUCGGAUCGUAAAACUCUGUUAUUAGGGAAGAACAUAUGUGUAAGUAACUGUGCACAUCUUGACGGUACCUAAUCAGAAAGCCACGGCUAACUACGUG
Molecule: ribosomal RNA, 497 nt
Filed under: uncultured bacterium
Lineage: Bacteria
Description: partial 16S ribosomal RNA
Rfam family: Bacterial small subunit ribosomal RNA
Source: RNAcentral